GUCUGCAGUCGUGUCUGCAGGCUGAGGUAAAAUUUUGUAAGUGGAAACUGUCUUGUAAAUUCCGUAAGUGUCUCUAAUGGUAUACGUUGUCGGAUUCGUAAAUUCUUAUUCGAGUGCAUGGAAUCAAAAUUUAAAGAGUUUGGUCGUUUUAAAAGACUCGCCUAUCCAAAAAAGUACGUCUUUUAAAUAUCGGACCAACAUAAAGGAAAAUAAUAAUUAUCUGUUCUUUCGCAAAAUGUUCGUGAGAGCGCGAUGAAAAAGAAGAUAAUUCACAAGCAGAAUUAUACACAUUCAUACAAACAUAAAUAUGUAUGCAUAAAUUUGGUGAACUUCUCUACAUAUGUACAGCCAAAACUGCCAUGGAGGAGAAAAUAGUCAGUAUCGUUGGUACCUAGCAGACCUUGUCUGUGGCGCACCAUGGAUACACGUAUAACAAAACCUUAUUCUAAAUUUUGAUCAGAAUGGCAAUUGUUACAUUAAAGUUGUUGUCCAUCUGGGCGGCGGUAGAGUUUUGUCAACUUUAAAGGAUUUUCCAAUCCUAAAAGCCGCAUCUGCCAUGCACAUGGACUGGAAAAUAAACAGUAUUAUUGGGACCUGGAUGACCAAUAUGUUCUUGGUUAUUUCAUACAAUAGAUAGAUAUUAAAAAAUAUUGAAACUUUUUGCCGAAUUCUGGAUUGGUUCUUAAAUCAACAAAUUUUCAAGGAUCUUAAAUACCUAAUCUGCCACGCCCAUGGAUGGAUCGACAAAGAAUCGCUAUUGUUGGUACCUAGAUGACCUAUAUAUCCUUGGUUAUUCCAUACCAUGAAUAUAGUCCUAGCGAACCCAAAAGGACCAAUUUCUUGCAAAAUGCGCAUGAAAUAGCUCCAAAAUAUGUAUGCUACUUUUUUACAGCCGGCUAGCAACCCCAGCAAAAGCCCCGUCCCCUGGAUGGUUCCUAGUUGACUAUCAUAUCCUUGGUUAUACCAUACCAUCGAUAUAGUCCUUGUGAACCUAAAGGAUCAGAAGCCUGCAUAAUGUGCAUUGAAAUGGUCCAAAAAUAUGUAUGUUUUUCUUUCAGCAGCCCUUGUACAUUAGCUGCCGCUUAACAGCCGACUUUACAGCACUCCUUUUACAUGGCCUGUUACUUAACAGCACUCAUUUGAAAUGAGUUACAUUUUGCCCCGUGCGGGUAUGCAAUGAAAAUUUUUAUUCGAUCUGGUCGACCUUCUGAUCAUUUCUGUUCGCCUGGUAUUUCAGUCAAAUUUUAGUGCAAAUUGGGGACCCAGCCGCCGACAACGGCGCCCCUUUCGGGUAUGCAAUGCAAUUUUUCGUCAACCAAAAAAUGUUUUGGCGACCUUCUGGCCAUUUCUGUUCGCCUGGUAUUUCAGCAGAUUUUUAGAAAAAUCUCGGGGCUUGAAUGUGACUUAAAAAAAAAAAAAAGACAUUGUUAAUUCGUUUUAUAUGCUGAUUUAUUAUGCUUUAUUUUACAAAAUUGUUUAUGUUUAAUGUUAUUUUCCUUCAAAAUUAUGCAAAACAAGGAUAUUUUAUAAAUGUAGCUUAUUUGGGCUUAAAAUGGCUUAAUUAAAGGUCGAUCCUGGUUGCUUGUAACUCGUAGAGGUCCUUGGGAUUUAUUGCAGUCCUUGAUUGGUUAGCCUGAAAAAAUAAAAACACAUUUGAAUUUAAUAAAGCCAAAAUAUACAAUGUAA
This is a long non-coding RNA of Drosophila virilis, 1686 nucleotides long. RefSeq lists it as uncharacterized. NCBI's taxonomy places the organism in Eukaryota, Metazoa, Arthropoda, Insecta, Diptera, Drosophilidae. The record is from RefSeq and is a predicted model, not a curated record.